Molecule: long non-coding RNA, 630 nt
Organism: Poecile atricapillus (Black-capped chickadee)
Lineage: Eukaryota; Metazoa; Chordata; Aves; Passeriformes; Paridae
Exons: 4
Source: RefSeq, a predicted model, not a curated record
GAGAGACAACAAACGGCCAAACAAAUGGUCAAGCUGAAACCUUCUGCUGAAACUCAGCUACCAGAUGUUGCUGGAAUCAACAUCAAUAUGCAAGAAAGCACAUUUGCAAGUCCUGGCAGUGCUGAGAGUCACAAAGAUCCCUGUCUUGGCACAGAGUGACCUCCCAAACAUGCCAGGUGCUUCUCGUCCUACCAGACUUGCAGACCUCCAGGUGAACUCCAAGGACACUCAGGGAGUACAAAGACCAUUCUUGCCUCAAAAUAUUUCAAAAAGGCAUGAAAGAUGGGAAAAUAUGCUAUGGACCGAGAUGAAAUAAUUGUCUUGGGGUUGUACAGCUGGCCAGUGUUCAUCCUGAAGAUACAUCUCAGAACCAUGAUUAACUACAGUUGCUACUGGAAUCAGCAAACCAAAAAGAAAGCUUUUUGUGGUAGAUCAAGCAUAUGAGAACAGAACUUGCAACACUGUAUGUUUCUUCCGUGGAUACAAGAAACAUAUACUAACUUGUAAAGUUGAGGAGAAUAAAAUGUGGAAUAUUAAGUUGCCCAUUACCUUUACUUGAAUGGCCCAACUCAGUGAUAUCAACCUUAAUUUGACAAGAAUUGAGGGCUCAGACAUACCCUCAAGCUAUGU